GAUUGGCCGUCGUCAGCUCGUGUCGUGAGAUGUUGGGUUAAGUCCCGUAACGAGCGCAACCCCUAUCCCUAGUUGCUAGCAGUUCGGCUGAGAACUCUAGGGAGACUGCCGGUGACAAACCGGAGGAAGGUGGGGAUGACGUCAGGUCAUCAUGGCCCUUACGGCCAGGGCUACACACGUGCUACAAUGGUGCGCACAGAGGGCUGCAAACCCGCGAGGGGGAGCCAAUCUCACAAAACGCAUCGUAGUCCGGAUCGCAGUCUGCAACUCGACUGCGUGAAGUCGGAAUCGCUAGUAAUCGUGAAUCAGAAUGUCACGGUGAAUACGUUCCCGGGCCUUGUACACACCGCCCGUCACACCAUGGGAGUGGAUUGCACCAGAAGUGGUUAGUCUAACCUUCGGGAGGACGAUCACCACGGUGUGGUUCAUGACUGGGGUGAAGUCGUAACAAGGUAGCCGUAGAUCUUUCUAGAAGAUCUCCUACAAUAUUCUCAGCUGCCAUGGAAAAUCGAUGUUCUUCUUUUAUUCUCUCAAGAUUUUCAGGCUGUAUAUUAAAACUUAUAUUAAGAACUAUGCUAACCACCUCAUCAGGAACCGUUGUAGGUGGCGUGGGUUUUCUUGGCAAUCGACUCUCAUGAAAACUACGAGCUAAAUAUUCAAUAUGUUCCUCUUGACCAACUUUAUUCUGCAUUUUUUUUGAACGAGGUUUAGAGCAAGCUUCA
This 722-nucleotide ribosomal RNA is filed under the name uncultured bacterium. RNAcentral describes it as "bacterial SSU rRNA". The stretch from base 1 to 484 matches the Rfam family "Bacterial small subunit ribosomal RNA", at positions 1043 to 1533 of the family's 1533-position model. The record is from RNAcentral.